AAGAUUAUACUUUCAGGAAUCAUUUUUUAUAGUGUUUGAUUUGGAAAUGUGUUUCGAAAGUGUUUAGUUUUUCAAACCACGAUGAUGAGUUAUGUUACUUUUUUCUGAGCGUGAGUCGGGUGUGAAGUAAUGAUUAGUUUCAUGUCUUUUGCAUCAUUGAUGAACGUUCUUCGCUGUUUGUAACAGUAAAGAGGAAAGGAGUAUGAGCAGAGUGGU
RNAcentral lists this small nucleolar RNA (216 nucleotides) under Sinocyclocheilus rhinocerous. RNAcentral describes it as "Small nucleolar RNA U3 (ENSSRHG00000019327.1)". It matches the Rfam family "Small nucleolar RNA U3". From Rfam's summary of the family: Small nucleolar RNAs (snoRNAs) are involved in the processing and modification of rRNA in the nucleolus. There are two main classes of snoRNAs: the box C/D class, and the box H/ACA class. Lineage: Eukaryota; Metazoa; Chordata; Actinopteri; Cypriniformes; Cyprinidae. The record is from Rfam by way of RNAcentral.